This 539-nucleotide ribosomal RNA is filed under the name uncultured Methylophilaceae bacterium. Its description in RNAcentral is "bacterial SSU rRNA". It matches the Rfam family "Bacterial small subunit ribosomal RNA", at positions 96 to 621 of the family's 1533-position model. Lineage: Bacteria; Pseudomonadati; Pseudomonadota; Betaproteobacteria; Nitrosomonadales; Methylophilaceae. The record is from RNAcentral.
CGGCGGACGGGUGAGUAACACGUGGGUAACCUGCCUGUAAGACUGGGAUAACUCCGGGAAACCGGAGCUAAUACCGGAUAGUUCCUUGAACCGCAUGGUUCAAGGAUGAAAGACGGUUUCGGCUGUCACUUACAGAUGGACCCGCGGCGCAUUAGCUAGUUGGUGGGGUGAUGGCUCACCAAGGCGACGAUGCGUAGCCGACCUGAGAGGGUGAUCGGCCACACUGGGACUGAGACACGGUCCAGACUCCUACGGGAGGCAGCAGUGGGGAAUUUUGGACAAUGGGCGCAAGCCUGAUCCAGCCAUUCCGCGUGAGUGAAGAAGGCCUUCGGGUUGUAAAGCUCUUUCGCAAGGGAAGAAAUGUUACGAGCGAAUAACUCGUGAUAAUGACGGUACCUUGAUAAGAAGCACCGGCUAACUACGUGCCAGCAGCCGCGGUAAUACGUAGGGUGCGAGCGUUAAUCGGAAUUACUGGGCGUAAAGCGUGCGCAGGCGGUUUUGUAAGUCAGAUGUGAAAUCCCCGAGCUCAACUUGGGAAC